This 666-nucleotide ribosomal RNA is filed under the name uncultured bacterium. RNAcentral's name for it is "bacterial SSU rRNA". It matches the Rfam family "Bacterial small subunit ribosomal RNA", at positions 55 to 718 of the family's 1533-position model. The record is from RNAcentral.
AUGCAAGUCGAGCGGUAGAGAGGUGCUUGCACCUCUUGAGAGCGGCGGACGGGUGAGUAAAGCCUAGGAAUCUGCCUGGUAGUGGGGGAUAACGCUCGGAAACGGACGCUAAUACCGCAUACGUCCUACGGGAGAAAGCAGGGGACCUUCGGGCCUUGCGCUAUCAGAUGAGCCUAGGUCGGAUUAGCUAGUUGGUGAGGUAAUGGCUCACCAAGGCGACGAUCCGUAACUGGUCUGAGAGGAUGAUCAGUCACACUGGAACUGAGACACGGUCCAGACUCCUACGGGAGGCAGCAGUGGGGAAUAUUGGACAAUGGGCGAAAGCCUGAUCCAGCCAUGCCGCGUGUGAAGAAGGUCUUCGGAUUGUAAAGCACUUUAAGUUGGGAGGAAGGGCAUUAACCUAAUACGUUAGUGUUUUGACGUUACCGACAGAAUAAGCACCGGCUAACUCUGUGCCAGCAGCCGCGGUAAUACAGAGGGUGCAAGCGUUAAUCGGAAUUACUGGGCGUAAAGCGCGCGUAGGUGGUUAGUUAAGUUGGAUGUGAAAUCCCCGGGCUCAACCUGGGAACUGCAUUCAAAACUGACUGACUAGAGUAUGGUAGAGGGUGGUGGAAUUUCCUGUGUAGCGGUGAAAUGCGUAGAUAUAGGAAGGAACACCAGUGGCGA